Oreochromis aureus is the source of this 632-nucleotide long non-coding RNA. RefSeq lists it as uncharacterized. The record is from RefSeq and is a predicted model, not a curated record. NCBI's taxonomy places the organism in Eukaryota, Metazoa, Chordata, Actinopteri, Cichliformes, Cichlidae. The transcript has 3 exons.
UUUUCUGAGUACUGUGCUCACUUUAGGAGUCCUUAAAGACUUGCAGCCAACCACAAGAGAUUUGGAGUGCUUUCCUCAUAGCGACACGUUUGAAUGUUGCAGUUAGCACCAGCGGUUUCAGGAGUAAAUAAAACCAUGGUGACGAUGGAGAUAAUUAAGAGAAGAAAAACUCUGCUGUGGUGUUUUCACAGCUUCAUACAUCUGUUCAUACUCAUCAGGGACGAGCCGAGAUUCCCAGACAAUCCCAUUUCCAGGAGGCAGGUGAGGCGUGAAUGUGAGUGCACGGGGGAGGACAAGGCUGGCAUUUGACUCUGCUGAGUAAGCAGAAGAUAUGCAGUUUGCCAGGGUCUAAGGGAGGGGUUUUAAGCGCCGUAGCCAGUGAGUGAAAGCAAAAGCAAGAACCAGUCUCCAUCCGAUAAACUGUGGACUGCUUGAUCUGCUUUCAUUGGAAGCGGCGAUGAUCCUCCACAGGAAGUGCAGGUCAAAGCCGCACUUCAGGGAGAGACCUGGAAAUAGAAACAAUGCAGAGGUGCACAAGAAGAUGAUCUUGAAGGGGAUCGACCUUCCCACGCCUCACACACAAUGUUCAGUGGAACAUCAAUGUUAAUCUGAUAUGACUCCACCUGUUACAC